GAUGAACGCUGGCGGCGUGCCUAACACAUGCAAGUCGAGCGAACAGACGAGGAGUUUGCUUUUCUGACGUUAGCGGCGGACGUGUGAGUAACACGUGGAUGACCCACCUAUAAGACUGGGAUACCUUCGGGACACCGGCGCUAAUACCGGACAAUAUAUUGAACCGUGUGUUCCAUUAGUGAAAUACGGCUUUCCUGUCACUUAUAGAUGCAUCCGCGCCGCAUUAGCUAGUUGGUAAGGAAACGGCUUACCAAGGCAACUAGGCGUUGCCGACCUGAAAGGGUGGUCGCCCACCCGGGAACGGAACCGCGGACCAGAGGACUGAGGCAGGCAGCAGUCGGGAACCUUACGCAAUAGGCGAAAGCCUGACAGAGCGACGCAGAGUGAGUGAUGAAGAUCUUCGGAUCGUAAAGCUCUGUUAUUAGGGAAAAACAAAUGUGUACGUAAAUAUACACAUCUUGACGGUACCUACUCAGAAAGCCCCGGCUAACUACGUG
This 497-nucleotide ribosomal RNA is filed under the name uncultured bacterium. RNAcentral describes it as "partial 16S ribosomal RNA". It matches the Rfam family "Bacterial small subunit ribosomal RNA", at positions 28 to 507 of the family's 1533-position model. The record is from RNAcentral.